This 345-nucleotide unclassified non-coding RNA is filed under the name soil metagenome. Its description in RNAcentral is "partial contains 5.8S ribosomal RNA, internal transcribed spacer 2, and large subunit ribosomal RNA". The stretch from base 2 to 119 matches the Rfam family "5.8S ribosomal RNA", at positions 36 to 154 of the family's 154-position model. The record is from RNAcentral.
AAUGAAGAACGUAGUGAAAUGCGAUACGUAAUGUGAAUUGCAAAUUCAGUGAAUCAUCGAGUCUUUGAACGCACAUUGCGCCCCCUGGUAUUCCGGGGGGCAUGCCUGUCCGAGCGUCAUUGCUGCCCUCAAGCACGGCUUGUGUGUUGGGCCCCGUCCUCCGAUCCCGGGGGACGGGCCCGAAAGGCAGCGGCGGCACCGCGUCCGGUCCUCGAGCGUAUGGGGCUUUGUCACCCGCUCUGUAGGCCCGGCCGGCGCUUGCCGAUCAACCCAAAUUUUUAUCCAGGUUGACCUCGGAUCAGGUAGGGAUACCCGCUGAACUUAAGCAUAUCAAUAAGCGGAGGA